GACGAACGCUGGCGGCGUGCUUAACACAUGCAAGUCGAACGAUGAAAGCGGGAGCUUGCUCCUGCUGGAUUAGUGGCGAACGGGUGAGUAACACGUGAGCAAUCUGCCCCGAACUCUGGGAUAAGCGUUGGAAACGACGUCUAAUACCGGAUACGACGCGCGAAGGCAUCUUCUGCGCGUGGAAAGAAUUUCGGUUCGGGAUGAGCUCGCGGCCUAUCAGCUUGUUGGUGAGGUAACGGCUCACCAAGGCGACGACGGGUAGCCGGCCUGAGAGGGUGACCGGCCACACUGGGACUGAGACACGGCCCAGACUCCUACGGGAGGCAGCAGUGGGGAAUAUUGCACAAUGGGCGCAAGCCUGAUGCAGCAACGCCGCGUGAGGGACGACGGCCUUCGGGUUGUAAACCUCUUUUAGUAGGGAAGAAGCGAAAGUGACGGUACCUGCAGAAAAAGCACCGGCUAACUACGUGCCAGCCGCCGCCGUAA
This 486-nucleotide ribosomal RNA is filed under the name uncultured bacterium. RNAcentral's name for it is "partial 16S ribosomal RNA". It matches the Rfam family "Bacterial small subunit ribosomal RNA", at positions 28 to 523 of the family's 1533-position model. The record is from RNAcentral.